AGCUCUAACUCAGUGGUACAACAUCUGCUUUGUAUGCAGAAGGUCCCAGGUCCAAUCCUUGGGCAGGGCUG
Molecule: non-coding RNA, 71 nt
Organism: Podarcis lilfordi (Lilford's wall lizard)
Lineage: Eukaryota; Metazoa; Chordata; Lepidosauria; Squamata; Lacertidae
Source: the annotation of a GenBank genome assembly